GGACCAGACUCCUACGGGAGGCAGCAGUGGGGAAUAUUGCACAAUGGGGGAAACCCUGAUGCAGCGACGCCGCGUGAGCGAUGAAGUAUUUCGGUAUGUAAAGCUCUAUCAGCAGGGAAGAAGAUGACGGUACCUGACUAAGAAGCCCCGGCUAACUACGUGCCAGCAGCCGCGGUAAUACGUAGGGGGCAAGCGUUAUCCGGAUUUACUGGGUGUAAAGGGAGCGUAGACGGCGAUGCAAGCCAGAUGUGAAAGCCCGGGGCUCAACCCCGGGACUGCAUUUGGAACUGUGUGGCUGGAGUGUCGGAGAGGCAGGCGGAAUUCCUGGUGUAGCGGUGAAAUGCGUAGAUAUCAGGAGGAACACCGGCGGCGAAGGCGGCCUGCUGGACUGCGACUGACGUUGAGGCUCGAAAGCGUGGGGAGCGAACAGGAUUAGAUACCCUAGUA
RNAcentral lists this ribosomal RNA (447 nucleotides) under uncultured bacterium. Its description in RNAcentral is "bacterial SSU rRNA". It matches the Rfam family "Bacterial small subunit ribosomal RNA", at positions 328 to 792 of the family's 1533-position model. The record is from RNAcentral.